CUGUUUUUAAACAAGAGGUCUGUGAACAUCCGUUGUACGUCCCAAUAGCUUUCCACACUGAAGCGCCGAUCUCCCAGAUACUCCUGCCUCAGUUUACGGGAGUAAUCGUCCAUAUCUUUGAUGGUCGUCAUGGAGUCCCGGUAGAACAACAAAUAC
Drosophila pseudoobscura is the source of this 156-nucleotide long non-coding RNA. RefSeq lists it as uncharacterized. The transcript has 2 exons. The record is from RefSeq and is a predicted model, not a curated record. Lineage: Eukaryota; Metazoa; Arthropoda; Insecta; Diptera; Drosophilidae.